GAUAAACUCCGAAUGCCAUGUACUUAUACUCGGGAGUCAGACUGCGAGUGAUAAGAUCCGUAGUCGAAAGGGAAACAGCCCAGACCACCAGUUAAGGUCCCCAAAUAUAUGUUAAGUGGAAAAGGAUGUGGGGUUGCUUAGACAACCAGGAUGUUGGCUUAGAAGCAGCCACCAUUGAAAGAGUGCGUAAUAGCUCACUGGUCGAGUGACCCCGCGCCGAAAAUGUACCGGGGCUAAACAUAUUACCGAAACUGUGGAUGAACCUCUUUAGAGGUUCGUGGUAGGAGAGCGUUCUAAGGGCGGUGAAGUCAGACCGGAAGGACUGGUGGAGCGCUUAGAAGUGAGAAUGCCGGUAUGAGUAGCGAAAGAAGGGUGAGAAUCCCUUCCACCGAAUAUCUAAGGUUUCCUGAGGAAGGCUCGUCCGCUCAGGGUUAGUCGGGACCUAAGCCGAGGCCGAUAGGCGUAGGCGAUGGACAACAGGUAGAGAUUCCUGUACCAGUGCUAAUUGUUUAACCGAUGGGGUGACACAGAAGGAUAGGGAAUCGCACGAAUGGAAAUGUGCGUCCAAGCAGUGAGUGUGAG
This 582-nucleotide ribosomal RNA is filed under the name Listeria monocytogenes. RNAcentral's name for it is "partial 23S ribosomal RNA". It matches the Rfam family "Bacterial large subunit ribosomal RNA", at positions 948 to 1529 of the family's 2925-position model. Lineage: Bacteria; Bacillati; Bacillota; Bacilli; Caryophanales; Listeriaceae. The record is from RNAcentral.